RNAcentral lists this ribosomal RNA (424 nucleotides) under uncultured prokaryote. RNAcentral describes it as "bacterial SSU rRNA". It matches the Rfam family "Bacterial small subunit ribosomal RNA", at positions 355 to 796 of the family's 1533-position model. The record is from RNAcentral.
CAGGGAAUCUUGCGCAAUGGGCGAAAGCCUGACGCAGCGACGCCGCGUGAGGGAAGAAGGCCUGCGGGUCGUAAACCUCUUUUCUCGGGGAAGAUAGUGACGGUACCCGAGGAAUAAGCCUCGGCUAACUACGUGCCAGCAGCCGCGGUAAUACGUAGGAGGCUAGCGUUGUCCGGAUUCAUUGGGCGUAAAGGGAGCGCAGGUGGCUGAGUUCGUCCGUGGUGCAAUCUCCAGGCUCAACUUGGAGAGGUCUGCGGAUACUGCUCGGCUUGAGGACGGUAGAGGAGCACGGAAUUCCUGGUGUAGUGGUGAAAUGCGUAGAUAUCAGGAGGAACACCCGUGGCGAAAGCGGUGCUCUGGGCCGAUCCUGACACUCAGGCUCGAAAGCGUGGGGAGCAAACCGGAUUAGAUACCCCCGUAGUCC